UACGAAGGGGGCUAGCGUUGUUCGGAAUUACUGGGCGUAAAGCGCACGUAGGCGGAUAUUUAAGUCAGGGGUGAAAUCCCGGGGCUCAACCCCGGAACUGCCUUUGAUACUGGGUAUCUCGAGUCCGAGAGAGGUGAGUGGAAUUCCGAGUGUAGAGGUGAAAUGCGUAGAUAUCUGGAGGAACACCGGUGGCGAAGGCGGCAUCCUGGACCAAUACUGACGCUGAGGAGCGAAAGCCAGGGGAGCAAACGGG
This 253-nucleotide ribosomal RNA is filed under the name uncultured bacterium. RNAcentral's name for it is "partial 16S ribosomal RNA". It matches the Rfam family "Bacterial small subunit ribosomal RNA", at positions 524 to 776 of the family's 1533-position model. The record is from RNAcentral.